RNAcentral lists this ribosomal RNA (482 nucleotides) under uncultured bacterium. Its description in RNAcentral is "bacterial SSU rRNA". It matches the Rfam family "Bacterial small subunit ribosomal RNA", at positions 29 to 503 of the family's 1533-position model. The record is from RNAcentral.
AAUGAACGCUGGCGGCGUGCUUUACACAUGCAAGUCGAGCGAGGCGUGUAGCAAUACACAGUCGAGCGGCGAACGGGUGAGUAACGCGUGGAUUAUCUGCCCUGAGGUGGGGGAUAACCCGGGGAAACUCGGGCUAAUACCGCAUAUGACCGUGAGGUCAAAGGGGGUCGCAAGAUCUCUCGCCAUAGGAGGAGUCCGCGUUCGAUUAGCUAGUUGGUAGGGUAAUGGCCUACCAAGGCGACGAUCGAUAGCCGGCCUGAGAGGGUGAUCGGCCACACUGGAACUGAGACACGGGUCCAGACUCCUACGGGAGGCAGCAGUGGGGAAUUUUUUGCGCAAUGGGCUAACGCCUGACGCAGCAACGCCGCGUGGAGGAUGAAGGUCCUUGGGAUUGUAAACUACCUGUCAGCAGGGAAAAAGACAACUCAACCUCAUACGUUGAGAAAGUUGAUUGUACCUGCAGAGGAAGCCCCGGCUAACUC